Suricata suricatta (meerkat) is the source of this 779-nucleotide long non-coding RNA. RefSeq lists it as uncharacterized. The record is from RefSeq and is a predicted model, not a curated record. NCBI's taxonomy places the organism in Eukaryota, Metazoa, Chordata, Mammalia, Carnivora, Herpestidae. The transcript has 4 exons.
CAGCUGGAUUCCUCAGCCUUCAAGGCUACAUAAGGAAUGCCUCCCACCAUUUGCCUGGAUAAGACAGGACAACAGAGGCCAGGCUGCUUCCACACAGGACAAGUUUGACCCUCAUCCCCUCUCUGAGAUGGCACUGUCAGAGCAAGGGGAUUAGGAGAUGGGCCUCAGUUUCCCCAUAUGUACUUUAGGGACAUUGACUUAGACCUUUUCUGAGAACCCACUACAUUUGACACUCUCUCUGAAGCCAGUCUGCCUGGAUUUAAACCCCAGCUCUGCUAUGUUCUACCGUGUGACUUAGUAACGCCCACGAGGUAAUAUCAUGGUUGAGACAGAACUCAGUAUCUGGAGUCUGGAGGAUGAAUCCUGGACCUGAUUCAGCUGGUCGCUGGCCCACUGUAGCAUCUACUUUCUGGGUUUUGGUUUUUGCACCUGGAGGUAAUUCCUAUUUCCCCAGGCCACACAAACCAGAGGCAAAAAUUAGAUCAGAUAAUAACCCAAAAGAGAAGAAAUGGAUGUGCCAUCAGGUAUGUCAAUGUCACUGCCACUAUUGCUGUCAUUGAACCACUAUCAACACUAUUCAAUCAUUCAUGCAGCAAUGUAUUGCAUGUACAGGGAUACAAGAAUAACCAGGAAGUCACAGCCCCUGCUCUAGUGGAAGAAACAAGUUCUCAUUUGAUAAUCAAAUAAAUUAGUGUAUAAUUACAAACUUAUGUAAAUAUUCUGAAGGAAAGCAAACCAUUCUAUGAGAGCAAAUAAAGAAUAAGUUGGUUUAAAUGCUU